GAUGAACGUUGGCGGUGUGCCUAAUACAUGCAAGUCGAACGGAGUUAGUAGCAAUACUGGCUCAGUGGCGAACGGGUGAGUAACGCGUUGGUGAUCUGCCUUGAAGUGUGGAAUAACGUUUCGAAAGGAACGCUAAUACCGCAUGUGCUCUCGAUUUUCAGAAAGUUGAGAGUAAAGGAUUUAUUCGCUUCAAGAGGAGCCUGCGUCCCAUCAGCUAGUUGGUGAGGCAACGGCUCACCAAGGCGACGACGGGUAGCCGGCCUGAGAGGGUGUCCGGCCACACUGGAACUGAGACACGGUCCAGACUCCUACGGGAGGCAGCAGUGGGGAAUUUUGGGCAAUGGGGGAGACCCUGACCCAGCGACGCCGCGUGAGGGACGAAGGCCCUUGGGUCGUAAACCUCUUUUGCAGGGGAAGAAGAAGAUGACGGUACCUUGCGAACAAGUCCCGGCUAACUACGUG
RNAcentral lists this ribosomal RNA (462 nucleotides) under uncultured bacterium. Its description in RNAcentral is "bacterial SSU rRNA". It matches the Rfam family "Bacterial small subunit ribosomal RNA", at positions 28 to 507 of the family's 1533-position model. The record is from RNAcentral.